UUAAGCUAUAAAGAGCACAGGGUGGAUGCCUAGGCACUGAGAGCCGAUGAAGGACGUGAUAAGCUGCGAAAAGCCACGGGGAGGAGCAAAUAUCCUUUGAGCCGUGGAUAUCCGAAUGGGGGAACCCACUUAAGUAAACCUUAAGUACUGACAAGCCAAUACAUAACUUGCCAGAGGGAACCCGGGGAACUGAAACAUCUAAGUACCCGGAGGAAGAGAAAGAAACAUCGAUUUCCUUAGUAGCGGCGAGCGAAAGGGAAAGAGCCCAAACCGAGAGAUUUAUCUUUCGGGGUUAGGACUGCAUAAUUGAUCUGCGAUUGAUAGGAGAAUGGUCUGGGAAGUCCAGCAGGAAAGCGUGAAAGCCGCGUAUCCGAAAUUGAAAGCAGCAAGGCAGUAUCCAGAGUACCACGAGACACGAGGAACCUUGUGGGAAUGAGCGGAGACCACUCCGUAAGGCUAAAUACUACUCAGUGACCGAUAGCGCAUAGUACUGUGAAGGAAAGGUGAAAAGGACCCCGGGAGGGGAGUGAAAGAGAACCUGAAACCCUGUGUUUACAAGCUGUCGGAGCACGUUAGUGCGACGGCGUACUUUUUGUAGAACGGUCCGGCGAGUUAUGAUACGCGGUAAGGUUAAGGACUUAAGGUCCGGAGCCGAAGCGAAAGCGAGUGUUAAGAGCACGAGGAAUCACGUAUCAUAGACCCGAAACCGGGUGAUCUAUCCAUGUCCAGGAUGAAGCUGCCGUAAGAGGUAGUGGAGGUCCGAACACACAUCCGUUGAAAAGGGUGGUGAUGAGGUGUGGAUAGGGGAGAAAUUCCAAUCGAACCCGGAGAUAGCUGGUUCUCCUCGAAAUAGCUUUAGGGCUAGCCUUCAGUUAGUCUGCCGCAGGUAGAGCACUGAAUUUCCUAGGGGGCGUCAAAGCCUACCGAAGAAUAUCAAACUGCGAAUGGCGGACAGAUGAUGCUGGGGAGUCAGACUGCACGAGAUAAGUUGGGUGGUCAAAAGGGAAAGAGCCCAGACCUACAGCUAAGGUCCCAAAGUGCGUGUUAAGUGGAAAAGGAUGUGGGAUUUCGAAGACAACUAGGAUGUUGGCUCAGAAGCAGCCACACAUUAAAAGAGUGCGUAAUAGCUCACUAGUCGAGAGGUCCUGCGCCGAAAAUGUCCGGGGCUGAAACACGACACCGAAGCUUAGGAACAAAGAAACCAAGGUUUCUAUAUGUUGGUAGAGGAGCAUUGUUAGCGGAACGAAGCCAUACCGGAAGGAGUGGUGGACUGCUAAGAAGAGAGAAUGCCGGAAUGAGUAGCGAGAUUGAAGUGAGAAUCUUCAAGGCCGAAUAUCUAAGGUUUCCAGGGUAAAGCUGAUCUGCCCUGGGUAAGUCGGGGCCUAAGGCGAGGUCGAAAGACGUAGCCGAUGGACAACAGGUUGAAAUUCCUGUACUGCGAUAUAUCAGAAAUGUGGGGACACAGAAGGAAAGUGUGAGCCGGGAAAGGAAAGACCGGUGCAAGCACAGGAGGAGGGAUACAGGCAAAUCCGUAUUUCAAUCCAAUGGUGUUACGCGGAGCGAACAAAAGUAGCGAAGCACACAGACCAUCUGUCGAGAAAAGCCGCUAUUGUGUAUAUUGUACCCGUACCGUAAACCGACACAGGUGGAUGAGGAGAGAAUCCUAAGGCCGGCGGGAGAAGCAUUGUUAAGGAACUCGGCAAAAUGACCCCGUAACUUCGGGAGAAGGGGUGCUCACGCAAGUGAGCCGCAGAGAACUGGCCCAAGCAACUGUUUAGCAAAAACACAGGUCUAUGCAAAACCGAAAGGUGAGGUAUAUGGGCUGACGCCUGCCCGGUGCUGGAAGGUUAAGAGGAGAUGUUAGAGCAAUCGAAGCAUUGAAUUUAAGCCCCAGUAAACGGCGGCCGUAACUAUAACGGUCCUAAGGUAGCGAAAUUCCUUGUCGGGUAAGUUCCGACCC
RNAcentral lists this ribosomal RNA (1960 nucleotides) under human gut metagenome. Its description in RNAcentral is "bacterial LSU rRNA". It matches the Rfam family "Bacterial large subunit ribosomal RNA", at positions 3 to 1989 of the family's 2925-position model. The record is from RNAcentral.